UAAUAUGGAGGGUGGGAGGGUUAAUCGGAAUUACUGGGCGUAAAGCGCAUGCAGGUGGUUUGUUAAGUCAGAUGUGAAAGCCCGGGGCUCAACCUCGGAAUUGCAUUUGAAACUGGCAAACUAGAGUACUGUAGAGGGGGGUAGAAUUUCAGGUGUAGCGGUGAAAUGCGUAGAGAUCUGAAGGAAUACCGGUGGCGAAGGCGGCCCCCUGGACAGAUACUGACACUCAGAUGCGAAAGCGUGGGGAGCAAACAGGAUUAGAUACCCUGGUAGUCCACGCCGUAAACGAUGUCUACUUGGAGGUUGUGGCCUUGAGCCGUGGCUUUCGGAGCUAACGCGUUAAGUAGACCGCCUGGGGAGUACGGUCGCAAGAUUAAAACUCAAAUGAAUUGACGGGGGCCCGCACAAGCGGUGGAGCAUGUGGUUUAAUUCGAUGCAACGCGAAGAACCUUACCUACUCUUGACAUCUACAGAAGCCAGCGGAGACGCAGGUGUGCCUUCGGGAACUGUAAGACAGGUGCUGCAUGGCUGUCGUCAGCUCGUGUUGUGAAAUGUUGGGUUAAGUCCCGCAACGAGCGCAACCCUUAUCCUUGUUUGCCAGCACUUCGGGUGGGAACUCCAGGGAGACUGCCGGUGAUAAACCGGAGGAAGGUGGGGACGACGUCAAGUCAUCAUGGCCCUUACGAGUAGGGCUACACACGUGCUACAAUGGCGCAUACAGAGGGCGGCCAACUUGCGAAAGUGAGCGAAUCCCAAAAAGUGCGUCGUAGUCCGGAUUGGAGUCUGCAACUCGACUCCAUGAAGUCGGAAUCGCUAGUAAUCGUGGAUCAGAAUGCCACGGUGAAUACGUUCCCGGGCCUUGUACACACCGCCCGUCACACCAUGGGAGUGGGCUGCAAAAGAAGUGGGUAGUUUAACCUUCGGGAGGACGCUCACCACUUUGUGGUUCAUGACUGGGGUGAAGUCGUAACAAGGUAACCG
This 981-nucleotide ribosomal RNA is filed under the name uncultured bacterium. RNAcentral describes it as "bacterial SSU rRNA". It matches the Rfam family "Bacterial small subunit ribosomal RNA", at positions 521 to 1502 of the family's 1533-position model. The record is from RNAcentral.